AGACAUCUUUUCCAUCUUCACUCUACUCACCCAGAAUGACCCGUGGUGAAACAGAGGCAUUCGAUGGAUUUUGUAUGAUAAGCAGUCUUGCAGAGGCUGA
This is a long non-coding RNA of Pipistrellus kuhlii (Kuhl's pipistrelle), 100 nucleotides long. RefSeq lists it as uncharacterized. The transcript has 3 exons. Lineage: Eukaryota; Metazoa; Chordata; Mammalia; Chiroptera; Vespertilionidae. The record is from RefSeq and is a predicted model, not a curated record.